AGAGUUUGAUCCUGGCUCAGGAUGAACGCUGGCGGCGUGCUUAACACAUGCAAGUCGAGCGAGAUUUUAUAAACCAAUCUUCGGAGGAAGUUUAUAGAUGAGCAACCUACCUUAUACAAAGGGAUAGCCUCGGGAAACUGGGAUUAAUACCUUAUAAUACUUUGGGAUCGCAUGAUCCUAAAGUCAAAGAUUUAUCGGUAUAAGAUGGGCCUGCGUCUGAUUAGCUAGUUGGUAAGGUAACGGCUUACCAAGGCGACGAUCAGUAGCCGACCUGAGAGGGUGAUCGGCCACACUGGAACUGAGACACGGUCCAGACUCCUACGGGAGGCAGCAGUGGGGAAUAUUGCACAAUGGGCGAAAGCCUGAUGCAGCAACGCCGCGUGAGCGAUGAAGGCCUUCGGGUCGUAAAGCUCUGUCCUAAGGGAAGAAUAAAUGACGGUACCUUAGGAGAAGCCCCGGCUAACUACGUGCCAGCAGCCGCGGUAAUACGUAGGGGGCAAGCGUUAUCCGGAAUUAUUGGGCGUAAAGGGUUCGCAGGCGGUCUGAUAAGCCAGGGGUGAAAGGCCACGGCUUAACCGUAGUAAGCCUUAGGAACUGUAAGUCUUGAGUGCAGGAGAGGAAAGCGGAAUUCCUAGUGUAGCGGUGAAAUGCGUAGAUAUUAGGAGGAACACCAGUGGCGAAGGCGGCUUUCUGGACUGUAACUGACACUGAGGCACGAAAGCGUGGGGAGCAAACAGGAUUAGAUACCCUGGUAGUCCACGCCGUAAACGAUGAGUACUAGGUGUCGGGAUCCGACCCCUUCGGUGCCGCAGCUAACGCAUUAAGCACUCCGCCUGGGGAGUACGUACGCAAGUAUGAAACUCAAAGGAAUUGACGGGGACCCGCACAAGCAGCGGAGCAUGUGGUUUAAUUCGAAGCAACGCGAAGAACCUUACCAAAACUUGACAUCCCGGGAAUCUGGUCUAGAGAUAGAUCUUUACCUUCGGGUACAAUGGACACAGGUGGUGCAUGGUUGUCGUCAGCUCGUGUCGUGAGAUGUUGGGUUAAGUCCCGCAACGAGCGCAACCCUUGCCUUUAGUUGCCAUCAUUAAGUUGGGCACUCUAGAGGGACUGCCGAUGAUAAAUCGGAGGAAGGUGGGGAUGACGUCAAAUCAUCAUGCCCUUUAUGUCCUGGGCUACACACGUGCUACAAUGGCCGGUACAACGAGAAGCGAAACCGCGAGGUGAAGCAAAUCUUUUAAAGCCGGUCCCAGUUCGGAUUGCAGGCUGAAACUCGCCUGCAGGAAGUUGGAGUUGCUAGUAAUCGCGGAUCAGCAUGCCGUGGUGAAUGCGUUCCCGGGUCUUGUACACACCGCCCGUCACACCAUGGAAGUUGGGGGGACCCGAAGUUAGUGAUCCAACCGUAAGGAGGAAGCUGUCGAAGGUA
RNAcentral lists this ribosomal RNA (1426 nucleotides) under uncultured bacterium. Its description in RNAcentral is "16S ribosomal RNA". It matches the Rfam family "Bacterial small subunit ribosomal RNA". The record is from RNAcentral.